UCUAGUAUCCAUUAUUCAUUUUAGGGUCAUUCUACGGUACCCACUUGUUUUUUGUAGGGGUACGGUACCCACCCAUAUUUGGACCAUUAAUUCUGAAGGUUUUAAUCCUGGCCGUUUAACUGAGUUUUAGUGGCUUACCGAUUACCGAUAGAACAAAUUAUAGUAUAAAAGCUAAAAAAAAGAAAGAAAAAGAAAAUAGAUGUUGCGUUCUCUCUCUCGUUCUUUCAAUUCAGAGGCAAUGUCAAUGAAGAUGAUGCUCGAGACUGUUUCCAUGAAGUUCAAGAUUGGCAAGGCAUGAUAUGCAGAGAAGAUGGCAAACGUGUGGGAGACGCAUGCAGAAGAAACCAACACAUGUGAAAGAUGGCAACUGAAGUAUUUGGCUGUAAAUUUUUUUCUUCUUCAGACAUUCCUUUCUACUUUUUCCCUGUAUUUGGCUGGAAUUUUCAAAUAGCUUAUAAAGUUGAGUUGUUCAUAAACUUCAUAUCCUUCUUUGGGCUAAUAUAGUUGUCCAUAUCCUCCAUUGUGGAUGUGUUCAUUUUUCAAUAGAGAAAAGUAUUUGCGAUUUA
Quercus robur (English oak) is the source of this 566-nucleotide long non-coding RNA. RefSeq lists it as uncharacterized. The transcript is spliced from 2 exons. The record is from RefSeq and is a predicted model, not a curated record. Lineage: Eukaryota; Viridiplantae; Streptophyta; Magnoliopsida; Fagales; Fagaceae.